GGGCCCAUAGCUCAGCCUGGUUAGAGCGUUCGGCUGAUAACCGAAAGACUUCAAAGGAAUGCUUCCUUUAAGGGUCGCAGGCGCGCGUUCGAAUCGCGUUGGGCCCACCA
RNAcentral lists this transfer RNA (110 nucleotides) under Candidatus Freyarchaeota archaeon. RNAcentral describes it as "tRNA-Ile". It matches the Rfam family "tRNA". From Rfam's summary of the family: Transfer RNA (tRNA) molecules are approximately 80 nucleotides in length. Their secondary structure includes four short double-helical elements and three loops (D, anti-codon, and T loops). Further hydrogen bonds mediate the characteristic L-shaped molecular structure. tRNAs have two regions of fundamental functional importance: the anti-codon, which is responsible for specific mRNA codon recognition, and the 3' end, to which the tRNAs corresponding amino acid is attached (by aminoacyl-tRNA synthetases). tRNAs cope with the degeneracy of the genetic code in two manners: having more than one tRNA (with a specific anti-codon) for a particular amino acid; and 'wobble' base-pairing, i.e. permitting non-standard base-pairing at the 3rd anti-codon position. RNAcentral also lists the same sequence under 2 other names. Lineage: Archaea; Promethearchaeati; Candidatus Freyarchaeota. The record is from RNAcentral.